UCAGGGAGCCGUUUCAUCAACGAUUUACGACUAGUUGUAAAUUACGAUUUACAUAAAUUACGAUGUUUCAAUGAAAUCGCGUUUCAUCAAGCAAAUCGUAAAUUAAAAUUACAUAAAUUUCAUACAUAAAUAUACGACUGGGUAAGGGCACCCGUAAAUUAACAUAAUGGCGGUCGUUUUUGUCAUCCAAGAUGGCAGGAGACGAACAAUUACCAAUGCCAAGGCUUUUAAGGGAGAGAUUGUUCUCGAAAACCUAAGAGAUGAGAACAUUGCUUCGAUAUAUCGUCUAAGUAAGGGCGGAAUAGAGCGAUUGUUGGUUUUGAUCGGGGAAGACAUAGCACCAACUUGCCGGCGAGCUCAUCCCUUUCAUUCCGUCGCUUAGAUUUUGGCAUAUUGCCAAGGGAGAUGUUUACUGAGGAUUCCAUGCCAUUAAUGUGCAGGCUGUUGCUGACGCCAGCAUGAGCAAUAUCUGAGCACCAAUGAUGAGGGUCAUCUGCUGGGAGAUAGUGGGUAUCCGUUAAGGACUAACCUGAUGACCCCUUAACCUCAUCCCUCCCAUGCUGCGGAACAAGCCUACAAUGACCAUCUAUGUAGAGGAUAUCUGCAUGCCACUGGUGGAUGUUGGCCUUUCAAGUCCAAUAAGUGCUGUGAAAUAUCAACUGUGUACAUGCCCCUGCAUAACCUGUGUCUGGAUUCAAACGUUCCACUGAUAGAGGAAUUGGUUGGAAAUGUGAUGGAACCGGAAGUUAUGAACAACACACCAGUACAUCGAGCAGCAUGUGAUAAGAGGCAGCAGAUGAUCAAACUGUUUCAUAAAAUGUGUUAAAAAUUUAUAGUUAUAAAUGUUAUAAAGUGAUAGAUGGCUCGAGUCUUCUCUGAAUAGGCAGAGCUACACUACUCAGCCAAAUGGCGUAAAGUUGUGUCAUAGCUGAUUUGGAAGGAUUGGUAUUCCUGGUCAUCUAGACACAAUAGUUACAACAGCUGAUGUUUGCAUGUUUUAUAAUUGUGUAUGCAUAAUUUGUCUAAUAUUUACUUCAAGGUUAUAGGUUUGUGAAAGAAAAAAAUGUCAAUGUUCUGAGGACCAAUAAAAAAAGUUAUGUGUUAGGUAUUACCAAGUGCUUGAUUUAAUAUUUAUUUUAAAGGGAACUUUUCCUAAAUUUUGGCAGAUAUUCAAGUUUUUCAUUAAACGCUUUUAUAUUGAUACAUGUAAACACUGGAUCUAAAAAGCUCCAGUAAAAAAAGAAUACAAUUAAAGAAAGAUAAAAAGUAACUCCUACAGGGCUCAAACCACUGACCCCUGAAGUAAAAGCCUCACACUAAGACCACUUGUCCGUCCAUGUUGAUACAAUGAGUGAUGUAUUUUACACUUUAUAUAAGCAAUCCUCAUCGUGUCACAAAAUAUUACGACAACAACAGAACUCUACAAAUUAUUCAAUCGUCGAGUGUUGCAGCAGAUAGUUGCAACGCUUUAAAAUUUUCAAGUUUUUAAAUCGUCAAAAGUUGCAUAUAAUGGAUAUUUUAGAGCAUGGUAAAUGUUCAGUAUUACUGUUUCCUCACAAAUAUCAUAACUACAACAAAUGUUUGCGAAUCUUAAACUUAUUUUUUUUAAUUUAGUCAAUUUACCAAAACUGGAAAAGGUCCCUUGAAUAUUGAACAGUUAUCUGAGCUCCAGAAAAGAUCAUAUACUCAAGGUACUUUUCCCCAUUAACAAUUAUUCAAGUGAUAUUUUACCCACUGACUUUCGCUCUAAAAGGUGUUCUCUGUAAUGAACAUUCUCAAAGCCACAUUAAAACAAGGGCUGUUAGUAAAACAUGCAUGCCCCCCAUUUGGGCUGUCAGUUGUAGUGGCAGUCAUUGUGUGAAUACGUUUUUUUGUCACUGUGAACUUGACCUUUGACUUAGUGACCUGAAAAUCAAUAGGAGUCAUCUGC
Dreissena polymorpha is the source of this 1930-nucleotide long non-coding RNA. RefSeq lists it as uncharacterized. The record is from RefSeq and is a predicted model, not a curated record. The transcript is spliced from 4 exons. NCBI's taxonomy places the organism in Eukaryota, Metazoa, Mollusca, Bivalvia, Myida, Dreissenidae.